Molecule: ribosomal RNA, 341 nt
Filed under: uncultured bacterium
Lineage: Bacteria
Description: bacterial SSU rRNA
Rfam family: Bacterial small subunit ribosomal RNA
Source: RNAcentral
GAUGAUAUCUCUAGACGGACAAUCCUGAAAGGGAUUAAAGGAUUUAUCCGGUGAUGGAUGGGGAUGCGUCUGAUUAGCUUGUUGCGGGGUUAACGGCCCACCAAGGCAACGAUCAGUAAGGGGUUCUGAGAGGAAGGUCCCCCACAUUGGAACUGAGACACGGUCCAAACUCCUACGGGAGGCAGCAGUGAGGAAUAUUGGUCAAUGGGCGAGAGCCUGAACCAGCCAAGUAGCGUGCAGGAUGACGGCCCUAUGGGUUGUAAACUGCUUUAUAAGGGAAUAAAGUUAGUCUCGUGAGACUUUUGCAUGUACCUUAUGAAUAAGGACCGGCUAAUUCCGUG